CCUAUCGUGGUGUAAUGGUCAGCACAAUGAGCCGGUAUUUCAGAGGUCCGUGGUUCGAUCCCCGGCGAAGGCA
Molecule: non-coding RNA, 73 nt
Organism: Stegodyphus mimosarum
Lineage: Eukaryota; Metazoa; Arthropoda; Arachnida; Araneae; Eresidae
Source: Rfam